UGGACCACUCAUUUCAGGACA
Molecule: non-coding RNA, 21 nt
Filed under: Arabidopsis thaliana (thale cress)
Lineage: Eukaryota; Viridiplantae; Streptophyta; Magnoliopsida; Brassicales; Brassicaceae
Source: RNAcentral